GAAUAUUGGACAAUGGGCGCAAGCCUGAUCCAGCCAUACCGCGUGGGUGAAGAAGGCCUUCGGGUUGGAACGCCCUCUUGUUGGGCAAGGAAAGCCGUCGGCUAAUGCACGGUUGUUCUUACGGUACCCAAAGAUGAUGCCCCGGCCAACCUCGUGCCAGGCGCCGCGGGAAUACGAGGGGUGCAAGCGUUACUCGGAAUUACUGGGCGUAAAGCGUGCGUAGGUGGUUGGUUAAGUCUGGUGUGAAAGCCCUGGGCUCAACCUGGGAAUUGCAGUGGAUACUGGGCGACUAGAGUGUGGUGGAGGGUAGUGGAAUUCCCGGUGUAGCAGUGAAAUGCGUAGAGAUCGGGAGGAACAUCCAUGGCGAAGGCAGCCCCCUGUGCCUGUACUGACGCUCAUGCACGAAAGCGUGGGGAGCAAACAG
RNAcentral lists this ribosomal RNA (424 nucleotides) under uncultured bacterium. Its description in RNAcentral is "partial 16S ribosomal RNA". It matches the Rfam family "Bacterial small subunit ribosomal RNA", at positions 359 to 775 of the family's 1533-position model. The record is from RNAcentral.